GUGUGCUGGCCUCUAGGGGCAUGUGCACGCUUCACUAGUCUUUCAACCACCUGUGAACUUUUGAUAGAUCUGUGAAGUCGUCUCUCAAGUCGUCAGACUUGGUUGCUGGGAUUUAAACGUCUCGGUGUGACUACGCAGUCUAUUUACUUACACACCCCAAAUGUAUGUCUACGAAUGUCAUUUAAUGGGCCUUGUGCCUUUAAACCAUAAUACAACUUUCAACAACGGAUCUCUUGGCUCUCGCAUCGAUGAAGAACGCAGCGAAAUGCGAUAAGUAAUGUGAAUUGCAGAAUUCAGUGAAUCAUCGAAUCUUUGAACGCACCUUGCGCCCCUUGGUAUUCCGAGGGGCAUGCCUGUUUGAGUGUCAUUAAAUUCUCAAACUCACUUUGGUUUCUUUCCAAUUGUGAUGUUUGGAUUGUUGGGGGCUGCUGGCCUUGACAGGUCGGCUCCUCUUAAAUGCAUUAGCAGGACUUCUCAUUGCCUCUGCGCAUGAUGUGAUAAUUAUCACUCAUCAAUAGCACGCAUGAAUAGAGUCCAGCUCUCUAAUCGUCCGCAAGGACAAUUUGACAAUUUGACCUCAAAUCAGGUAGGACUACCCGCUGAACUUAAGCAUAUCAAUAAGCGGAGGAA
RNAcentral lists this ribosomal RNA (630 nucleotides) under Pleurotus ostreatus (oyster mushroom). RNAcentral's name for it is "eukaryotic LSU rRNA". The stretch from base 214 to 367 matches the Rfam family "5.8S ribosomal RNA". Lineage: Eukaryota; Fungi; Basidiomycota; Agaricomycetes; Agaricales; Pleurotaceae. The record is from RNAcentral.